UACGUAGGGGGCUAGCGUUGUCCGGAAUCAUUGGGCGUAAAGAGCGUGUAGGCGGCCCGGUAAGUCCGCUGUGAAAGUCGGGGGCUCAACCUCAAGCUGUCGGCGGAAACUGUUUGGCUAGAGUCCGGAAGAGGAGAGUGGAAUUCCUGGUGUAGCGGUGAAAUGCGCAGAUAUCAGGAAGAACACCUAUGGCGAAGGCAGCUCUCUGGGACGGUACUGACGCUGAGACGCGAAAGCGUGGGGAGCGAACAGG
Molecule: ribosomal RNA, 253 nt
Filed under: uncultured bacterium
Lineage: Bacteria
Description: partial 16S ribosomal RNA
Rfam family: Bacterial small subunit ribosomal RNA
Source: RNAcentral